GCACUGGUGAUUCGGUGGUAGAAUUCUUGCCUUCCAGGCAGGAGACCCGGGUUCAAUUUCCGACCAGUGCG
Molecule: transfer RNA, 71 nt
Filed under: Loxodonta africana (African savanna elephant)
Lineage: Eukaryota; Metazoa; Chordata; Mammalia; Proboscidea; Elephantidae
Rfam family: tRNA
About the family: Transfer RNA (tRNA) molecules are approximately 80 nucleotides in length. Their secondary structure includes four short double-helical elements and three loops (D, anti-codon, and T loops).
Source: Rfam by way of RNAcentral